This is a long non-coding RNA of Lontra canadensis (Northern American river otter), 315 nucleotides long. RefSeq lists it as uncharacterized. NCBI's taxonomy places the organism in Eukaryota, Metazoa, Chordata, Mammalia, Carnivora, Mustelidae. The transcript is spliced from 3 exons. The record is from RefSeq and is a predicted model, not a curated record.
UUGCAACCAUGGGGAGGAAGAUCAAGAGAACCAUAAGAAGUCAACCCAGAGGUUGCUGAGCUACUGAAAGUUGCUACUAAUUUCUUACAGCAAUUUACAAAUGCCCUACUACUCUAAGAACCAUUGAAAUCACAGUUGGGAACCUCAAUAAUUUCACCAAGGCAGAAGCUAUUAAAUGCAAACAUUGGCAAAAGUUUUUAAUGCUGCAGAAUAUCAUGAAAAAUGCCAAGAUCCAGGACACAUCCCAGUGCUGCUAGAGCCAACACGUCAUCUCAUUACUGGCUGAAUGAGAGAAGAACACAAGAGGUCUGCAUU